AGGAGCUUGCUCCUCUGAUCAGUGGCGAACGGGUGAGUAACACGUGAGCAACCUGCCCCAGACUCUGGGACAACAGUUGGAAACAGCUGCUAAUACCGGAUACGAGACGGAGAGGCAUCUCUACCGUCUGGAAAGUUUUUCGGUCUGGGAUGGACUCGCGGCCUAUCAGCUAGUUGGUGAGGUAAUGGCUCACCAAGGCGACGACGGGUAGCCGGCCUGAGAGGGCGACCGGCCACACUGGGACUGAGACACGGCCCAGACUCCUACGGGAGGCAGCAGUGGGGAAUAUUGCACAAUGGGCGAAAGCCUGAUGCAGCGACGCCGCGUGAGGGAUGACGGCCUUCGGGCUGUAAACCUCUUUCAGCAGGGAAGAAGCGAAAGUGACGGUACCUGCAGAAGAAGCACCGGCUAACUACGUGCCAGCAGCCGCGGUAAUACGUAGGGUGCGAGCGUUGUCCGGAAUUAUUGGGCGUAAAGAGCUUGUAGGCGGUUUGUCGCGUCUGCAGUGAAAAUCCGAGGCUCAACCUCGGACUUGCUGUGGGUACGGGCAGACUAGAGUAUGGUAGGGGAGACCGGAAUUCCUGGUGUAGCGGUGGAAUGCGCAGAUAUCAGGAGGAACACCGAUGGCGAAGGCAGGUCUCUGGGCCAUAACUGACGCUGAGAAGCGAAAGCAUGGGGAGCGAACAGGAUUAGAUACCCUGGCAGUCCAUGCCGUAAACGUUGGGCGCUAGGUGUGGGGC
Molecule: ribosomal RNA, 740 nt
Filed under: uncultured bacterium
Lineage: Bacteria
Description: bacterial SSU rRNA
Rfam family: Bacterial small subunit ribosomal RNA
Source: RNAcentral